CAGUAGCCACGGUAAUACGGAGGAUCCGAGCGUUAUCCGGAUUUAUUGGGUUUAAAGGGUGCGUAGGCGGCUUUUUAAGUCAGGGGUGAAAGACGGUAGCUUAACUAUCGCAGUGCCUUUGAUACUGAAGAGCUUGAAUGUACUUGAGGUAGGCGGAAUGUGACAAGUAGCGGUGAAAUGCAUAGAUAUGUCACAGAACACCAAUUGUGAAGGCAGCUUACUAUGGUUUUAUUGACACUGAGGCACGAAAGCGUGGGGAUCAAACAGGAUUAGAUACCCGAGUAGUCCCGUCUCUUAUACA
RNAcentral lists this ribosomal RNA (301 nucleotides) under uncultured bacterium. RNAcentral's name for it is "partial 16S ribosomal RNA". It matches the Rfam family "Bacterial small subunit ribosomal RNA", at positions 509 to 808 of the family's 1533-position model. The record is from RNAcentral.